GGGAAGAACACAGCAUGAAGUCAGACGUCUGAGAAGCCCAGCACUUAAGGGAGAAAGCAUUUAUGGUGAGGAGAAAAGCAGCUGGUAUCACACUCUACCCAAGUCCCAAAAGCAGGUUCACAUAACUCCUGUCUUCAUUAUCUGAUAUCCGGUGAGUCACUGAAUUCCUUCAUCUAGGUAAUCAAUCAGUCAAUCAUCAAUUGAUUUGAUUUUGCCACUUAAAUAUUUCUAAAAUGUGUUUUGUCCUUUCUCUUUCUGCUACCCAAGUGGUUUUUCAUGCGUCAUUGCUUCCAGAAGGCUUUAUGGUCAAUUGUGUCAUAUGCAUAGAGGUCAAAGAUCAUGAAUACUGGCAGAGUCUUGGUUUUGGUGUUAUGGAGGCCUCUGCGGAUCUAUGAAAGGCUAGUCCAGUGCCUUGAGCCUUAUUAACAAAUGGCUGGUGAAGACUUUAACAGAAGUGACAGGAUUCUAAGGCGAUAAAAGCAGAGAAAGUUCAGCUUGAUGCAGUAGAACUUUAGAAGGGAGUUUUAUCUUUGUAUAUGCUGUUUCCUUUUUUUAUUUUUUAGAAUAUAUGAAACUUAUAAAUAGUUGGAUUUAUGAUAAGUAGUCAUAGUUGAGAAAGCAUUGAUGGUGAGGAGGAAAACAGCAUUGAUACCAAUUGUGAAGGGGGAUUGUGGAGUAUGGAAUUAAGAAGUGGACCUGGGAAAUUUAAAGUUUAGUCUGCAUUUUUUCUGAGAUGAAAAUAUAUGGAAAACACAAAAUUUUCAAGGUGGAGAAGAAGAAAAUGAAAUGCAUUAAUGAUAAUUUGCACAUUUAGAUAUUAUUCCAUGAUGCAGAUUUUAAAUGUAAUUUAUUUACGUAGUCCUUGAUAUUGCAUGUUUGGACAUAUACUGUAUUUGUAUGCUUUUAUUCCUUUUUUUGGCUAUUAUGAGAAAUGCAGUAAUAAAUAUAAUUAUACAUAAAGCCUCACAGAAAUAAAUUCAGCUCCAAGAGAUAGAGUAAUUGAAUGCAACGGACAGGCAAAAAAAGUGUGUGUGCAGUUUUAAUUUUAAUAUUUAUUUUUAAAUGCUUUGCCAAAGUUUGAAACUAUUCACAUUUUCAUCAAUAGAGAGACUUGAAGUCAAACAGAAUGUAUGUGUUACAGAUGUGACACAGUUUUACUCCAGAGAUGUGGCCACAUAUGCCCACACAAUUUAUAAAAAUUAACUGUCCUUUCCUAUGAAUUAAAAUAUUACCUGUUUUAUAUGUUACAUUCUCAUAUACACUUAGACCUAUUUCUGAAUUAUCUGUGUUGCGCACUGAUCUAGCCACCUGAGCUUGUUACUACAAUACUAAUUUGAUUAUGAUGGCAUUAGAAUAUGUUACUAAUGGAAUAAUUACUGAGAUGAUUCCUAUUGUAUCACUUUAUUUUCCAUUAUUUCUUCACUGUUCUAAAAUAGUUUAUAUUAUUCCCCUUAUAAAAAGAGAAUAUUAGUUAGAAUUUUAAAAUCAUGCAUUGAUUCUGAAAGAAUAGGUACUUUUAAACAUAUAUCUUCUUGCCCAAUAUUAUGGUACUUCUUUCUAUUGUUCAGAUUUCCUAUUAUGUUCUUUUGUGAGGUUUUGUAGCUUCUCUAUUUAGAAGGUAAAACAUUUUACGUAUGAUUAAGUGAAUCAUAGUUUUAGCCUUUUUCUUUUCUUUUCGUUAUUUGUUUUUUUGAGACAGGGUCUCAUUCCUGUUGCCCAGGCUGGGGUGCAGUGGUGCAAUUUCAGCUCACUGCAGCCUUGGCUUUCUGGGUUCAGUUGAUCCUUCCAACUCAGCCUUCCAAGGUGCUGGGACUACAGGCAUGUACCACCAUGCCUGGCUAAUUUUUUUGUUUUUUGUUUUUUUUCAGUAGAAAGUGGGUUUUGCCAUGUUUCCCAGGCUGGUCCCCAACUCCUGGGCUCAAGCAAACUGCCCUCUUCCCAAAUUGCUAGCAU
Molecule: long non-coding RNA, 1953 nt
Filed under: Homo sapiens (human)
Lineage: Eukaryota; Metazoa; Chordata; Mammalia; Primates; Hominidae
Description: non-protein coding MIR548XHG:6
Source: RNAcentral